GUUAGGAAUAUUGGACAAUGGGCGCAAGCCUGAUCCAGCCAUGCCGCGUGAGUGAUGAAGGCCUUCGGGUUGUAAAGCUCUUUAGCCGAUGAUUAUAAUGACUGUAGUCGGAAAAUAAGCCCCGGCUAACUUCGUGCCAGCAGCCGCGGUAAUACGAAGGGGGCGAGCGUUAUUCGGAAUCACUGGGCGUAAAGCGUGCGUAGGCGGCUUUGCAAGUUGGGAGUGAAAGCCCAGGGCUCAACCCUGGAAUUGCUCUCAAAACUGCAAGGCUCGAAUUCGGGAGGGGAUAGCGGAAUUGUCAGUGUAGCAGUGAAAUGCGUAGAUAUUGACAGGAACACCAGUGGCGUAAGCGGCUAUCUGGACCGAUAUUGACGCUGAGGCACGAAAGCGUGGGGAUCAAACAGGAUUAGAAACCCCUGUAGUCC
RNAcentral lists this ribosomal RNA (425 nucleotides) under uncultured bacterium. Its description in RNAcentral is "bacterial SSU rRNA". It matches the Rfam family "Bacterial small subunit ribosomal RNA", at positions 354 to 796 of the family's 1533-position model. The record is from RNAcentral.